This is a non-coding RNA of Xyrichtys novacula (pearly razorfish), 640 nucleotides long. NCBI's taxonomy places the organism in Eukaryota, Metazoa, Chordata, Actinopteri, Labriformes, Labridae. The record is from the annotation of a GenBank genome assembly.
GUUUUUUGGCGUUAGGGUUAAAAUUACUGUCCAAAACCUUUGUAGGAACUCUUUUCCAACCUUUUGGAGUUAGUUAGACCAAAAAAUAUGAAAAAAGAAAAAAAUAUUAUUGGGGGUUUUCGGGCUCCCUGAAAGUAAUAACCGGGUAUUAGGUUUUGGGGCUAUGGUAAGGUUUAAGUUUUUUGGCGUUAGGGUUAAAAUCACUGUCCAAAACCUUUGUAGGAACUCUUUUCCAACCUUUUGGAGUUAGUUAGACCAAAAAAUAUGAAAAAAGAAAAAAAAUAUUAUUGGGGGUUUUCGGGCUCCCUGAAAGUAAUACCCGGGUAUUAGGUUUUGGGGCUAUGGUAAGGUUUAAGGUUUUUGGCGUUAGGGUUGAAAUCACUGUCCAAAACCUUUGUAGGAACUCUUUUUCAACCUUUUGGAGUUAGUUAGACCAAAAAAAAAUGAAAAAUGAAAAAAAAAUAUUUGGGGUUUACGGGCUUCCUGAAUGUAAUACCCGGGUAUUAGAUUUUAAGGCUAGGGUAAGGUUUAAGUUUUUUGGCAUUAGGGUUAAAAUCACUGUCCAAAACCUUUGUAGGAACACUUUUCCAACCUUUUGGAGUUGGUUAGACCAAAAAGUAUGAAAAAAGAAAAAAAUAUU